GACGAACGCUGGCGGCGUGCUUAACACAUGCAAGUCGAACGGAAAGGCCCUGCUUUUGUGGGGUGCUCGAGUGGCGAACGGGUGAGUAACACGUGAGUAACCUGCCCUUGACUUUGGGAUAACUUCAGGAAACUGGGGCUAAUACCGGAUAGGAGCUCCUGCUGCAUGGUGGGGGUUGGAAAGUUUCGGCGGUUGGGGAUGGACUCGCGGCUUAUCAGCUUGUUGGUGGGGUAGUGGCUUACCAAGGCUUUGACGGGUAGCCGGCCUGAGAGGGUGACCGGCAACAUGGGGACUGAGAAACGGCCCAGACUCCUAAGGGAGGCAGCAGUGGGGAAUAUUGCACAAUGGGCGGAAGCCUGAUGCAGCAACGCCGCGUGCGGGAUGACGGCCUUCGGGUUGUAAACCGCUUUCGCCAGUGACGAAGCGUGAGUGACGGUAAUGGGUAAAGAAGCACCGGCUAACUACGUG
This 468-nucleotide ribosomal RNA is filed under the name uncultured bacterium. RNAcentral describes it as "partial 16S ribosomal RNA". It matches the Rfam family "Bacterial small subunit ribosomal RNA", at positions 28 to 507 of the family's 1533-position model. The record is from RNAcentral.